GCAGUCGAGCGGCAGCACAGAGAGCUUGCUCUCGGGUGACGAGCGGCGGACGGGUGAGUAAUGUCUGGGAAACUGCCUGAUGGAGGGGGAUAACUACUGGAAACGGUAGCUAAUACCGCAUAACGUCGCAAGACCAAAGUGGGGGACCUUCGGGCCUCAUGCCAUCAGAUGUGCCCAGAUGGGAUUAGCUAGUAGGUGGGGUAAUGGCUCACCUAGGCGACGAUCCCUAGCUGGUCUGAGAGGAUGACCAGCCACACUGGAACUGAGACACGGUCCAGACUCCUACGGGAGGCAGCAGUGGGGAAUAUUGCACAAUGGGCGCAAGCCUGAUGCAGCCAUGCCGCGUGUGUGAAGAAGGCCUUCGGGUUGUAAAGCACUUUCAGCGGGGAGGAAGGCGUUAAGGUUAAUAACCUUGGCGAUUGACGUUACCCGCAGAAGAAGCACCGGCUAACUCCGUGCCAGCAGCCGCGGUAAUACGGAGGGUGCAAGCGUUAAUCGGAAUUACUGGGCGUAAAGCGCACGCAGGCGGUCUGUCAAGUCGGAUGUGAAAUCCCCGGGCUCAACCUGGGAACUGCAUUCGAAACUGGCAGGCUAGAGUCUUGUAGAGGGGGGUAGAAUUCCAGGUGUAGCGGUGAAAUGCGUAGAGAUCUGGAGGAAUACCGGUGGCGAAGGCGGCCCCCUGGACAAAGACUGACGCUC
This 699-nucleotide ribosomal RNA is filed under the name uncultured bacterium. Its description in RNAcentral is "bacterial SSU rRNA". It matches the Rfam family "Bacterial small subunit ribosomal RNA", at positions 57 to 748 of the family's 1533-position model. The record is from RNAcentral.